GGGGGGGGGGGGGGGGGGGGCGGGGGCGUGGGGGGCGGGCGGACGGGCGGGGGGCUUGCUUCUCUGAGGUUAGCGGCGGACGGGUGAGUAACACGUGGAUAACCUACCUAUAAGACUGGGAUAACUUCGGGAAACCGGAGCUAAUACCGGAUGAUAUUUUGAACCGCAUGGUUCAAAAGUGAAAGACGGUCUUGCUGUCACUUAUAGAUGGAUCCGCGCUGCAUUAGCUAGUUGGUAAGGUAACGGCUUACCAAGGCAACGAUGCAUAGCCGACCUGAGAGGGUGAUCGGCCACACUGGAACUGAGACGCGGUCCAGACUCCUACGGGAGGCAGCAGUAGGGAAUCUUCCGCAAUGGGCGAAAGCCUGACGGAGCAACGCCGCGUGAGUGAUGAAGGUCUUCGGAUCGUAAAACUCUGUUAUUAGGGAAGAACAUAUGUGUAAGUAACUGUGCACAUCUUGACGGUACCUAAUCAGAAAGCCACGGCUAACUACGUG
This 497-nucleotide ribosomal RNA is filed under the name uncultured bacterium. RNAcentral describes it as "partial 16S ribosomal RNA". It matches the Rfam family "Bacterial small subunit ribosomal RNA", at positions 27 to 507 of the family's 1533-position model. The record is from RNAcentral.